UCGAACGAACUCUGGUAUUGAUUGGUGCUUGCAUCAUGAUUUACAUUUGAGUGAGUGGCGAACUGGUGAGUAACACGUGGGAAACCUGCCCAGAAGMGGGGGAUAACACCUGGAAACAGAUGCUAAUACCGCAUAACAACUUGGACCGCAUGGUCCGAGUUUGAAAGAUGGCUUCGGCUAUCACUUYUGGAUGGUCCCGCGGCGUAUUAGCUAGAUGGUGAGGUAACGGCUCACCAUGGCAAUGAUACGUAGCCGACCUGAGAGGGUAAUCGGCCACAUUGGGACUGAGACACGGCCCAAACUCCUACGGGAGGCAGCAGUAGGGAAUCUUCCACAAUGGACGAAAGUCUGAUGGAGCAACGCCGCGUGAGUGAAGAAGGGUUUCGGCUCGUAAAACUCUGUUGUUAAAGAAGAACAUAUCUGAGAGUAACUGUUCAGGUAUUGACGGUAUUUAACCAGAAAGCCACGGCUAACUACGUGCCAGCMGCCGCGGURAWWCGGUCAUA
This 506-nucleotide ribosomal RNA is filed under the name Lactiplantibacillus plantarum. RNAcentral describes it as "bacterial SSU rRNA". It matches the Rfam family "Bacterial small subunit ribosomal RNA", at positions 62 to 533 of the family's 1533-position model. Lineage: Bacteria; Bacillati; Bacillota; Bacilli; Lactobacillales; Lactobacillaceae. The record is from RNAcentral.